CUGGAGUGAAGGGGGAAAAAAGCAGCCAAGGUAAGUGGAAACAAACUUACCUCUACUGCACUUCCUUUUUCUGUAUGACAGUAUUGUCUGUCCCAUGAUGUGAGCUCAGGCGUCUGUGGAAAAACUCUGUACGAAAAUAUGCACCCUCUGUGUUUUCUUCAACAGUGCAUCAAGCAUGCAUGUUCUGCAUUUUCUCCAGCAGUACCUUACGAU
Molecule: non-coding RNA, 213 nt
Organism: Pelobates cultripes (western spadefoot toad)
Lineage: Eukaryota; Metazoa; Chordata; Amphibia; Anura; Pelobatidae
Source: the annotation of a GenBank genome assembly